UCAUUGCCAAUCAUUUGUCUAUAUCAUGUAGCCAUAGUAGCUAAAUAUUAAUGUUCGAUAUCAGCACUCAGCUUGCUGAUAAAAACAAACAUGCUUGAUCGAUUGAACAAAGCUGAGCUGAUCUGGGCUAGCUUUUUAAGAUUUCAGUUCAGUGUUUGUUUUUUUUUUCAUACUUCAAAUUUGUUGAAAUUUGGAAAAAACAAAAUUUCCAUCGCUUGGUAAGGACUGGCUGGACCUAGCCUUCGGGCGUGAAAGUAUCGAGUGCUUAAAACCUGCUAUUAAGUAGAAGGUUGUUCCUCUAUCUUCUCUCGCUGCAAUGGAUGAAGACAUGGUUGCUGAUGCCGACUCGAUCCUUUCUAUGGACUUUCCUCCACGUAUCCGUGACCCUCACUCUGCUAAAAGUUCGAUGCAUACCCUUUGAAACGGGGGAUUGGACCAGCAACCACUACCACUUCGACCACCACGUCUGCUAUCACGUCAGCCAAACCAUCAGCCUCUUAAUCGUCCAAUUACCACAUUGUGGAUACCGUUGGCACAUUCCUUGAAACUAGCCGCUGAAUCCAAGCAGGUCCAGAGGAGGAGCAGUAGUACUCGUUCGGAAGGACAAAUUCCACAACCACCAUAGCGAUGUGCAGUUGGGGCCGAUACAGCUUGAGGCGAUCAUGGUUUCAACAGGGGAGAUCCUCAUUGCCGCAGCCCCAUCGAUUCAAUGGAGACCUUAAUACGAUGCACAGGCUUUAGGGCAGUCACAGAGAAGACCGCAGAGGGAUGGCGCUGUAUGAUGCCCUAACCAAUUGCUUGGCACAAAUUUAGGCGACAGGAAGCCCCAUCUUCUACCCACCGAUUCAGAGAUACAUGCCCUCCUGCUGAGACUUCAUAUAUCAUCUAUCCCCAGCAAUCAACUCAUCAUCUGUAAAGAUCAUGACCUCAGCUCCGACCACCUGCCUCUCAUUGCUACAUUAUCGCCAACUCCGCAGACAAAUUCAGUCAUGACUAGGCUAGACUGUAGAUGUAGAUGUGGCGAUCGACACUCUUGUGGCCAAAGUCUGUGACACUUCUGCAGCCGCUGCCAUCUGCGGCCCUCAAGGCACUCGAACAUCGCAAACUGGAAGCCAUAGAGGCGGCACUUCAAGUGAGAUUGAGGGCCUGCACCCACUCGAAAUACGACUCAGACGCGAGUAUAUACGCACCAACCACCCAAAAGUUGGCAGAGUUUUCAGGAGUGGCAAACCAAGUAAGGAAAAAACUAGCCAUACAGAAGACCAAGAUCAUGGAUAGACAUCAAACGCAUACGACAGCAGACGCCAGCUCCAAGUAAGCUCUCUGGAAGUUGACAGGACACUGCAAGCAGCAACCUAGGCCUCGCUUUCCGGUUAUGAAGGCCUACGGCACAUGUAUGAGAUUAGCAAUAGGCAGAGCGGAGGACUUCGCGGCGAACCUUGAAGACAGGUUCACACGUUUCUGUACGAAUUCAAACAGAAGAUUUAAUAUGGUUACCGAGAGGCUGAAUGAGAGCAUUAGACAGUUAGCCCUAUGGCACCUAUCACUUUCCAUGAAAGCUCGGCAGACAAGAAUUGGAAGUUCAAGAAGGCCUUUGGCGAUGACAAAAUCGACAAUACCUGUUGAUGACCUUCAACGCAUUACUAAUCAGCCUCCUCUCGACUUUUGGCAAAUUACUUCAGCCUUGCAUCCUGCGAAGGGUUCUGGAUUUCAAGUCAAGAGAGUCACUCCAAACAACCAAUUUGAGUUCAGACUUAGGCAUGGCACACUGGAGCUGCAGUGGAGCACAUAUUCGACGGCUUACAAUAUGUGUGCGAAAACCUUAAAAAAGAGGAACUUGCCCUUAAGAUUUUCUUCAUGGCGAGCUGCUAGACCAACGGAGAUAACAUAAAUACCUAGGAGUCACGCUGGAUACCAGACUUACUUUUUCCAGCCACAUUAAGCCCUUAAUAUGUAACCUGGAAAGCAAGACAAGCAAAUAGUUCUGGCUGCUAAACGCUGUCAACAACAAAAUAUAAACAGGGUGCUCCAAAACAAAAUGUUACGCAAAUUUUGUGGAGCCGAUUGGUACAUUUACUGUAAAAGAGCACUAUUAAUUAUUAUUUACUCACCAUAAGUCGUACCUGACCACCCACCCUCCAAUUCGAUGACUAUUUUUUGGCCCCGCAUUUUCUUUUGCAAAAUAUUUGUAGCUGAAUUUUUUCCUUGACUGUUUCAUAAGUUUCUUCAAAAGUAAAAGUACACAACAUAACUGUA
This is a long non-coding RNA of Drosophila pseudoobscura, 2256 nucleotides long. RefSeq lists it as uncharacterized. Lineage: Eukaryota; Metazoa; Arthropoda; Insecta; Diptera; Drosophilidae. The transcript has 3 exons. The record is from RefSeq and is a predicted model, not a curated record.